GGCGCACGCGGCAGGCAUCUCUUUAAAGGAGGCGUUGCGUGUGCUGUUAGUGCUGUUAUGAACUGCGACUUUUCGCGUGCACAAAAGUGCCAGAAGAUAGCUUGUGUCUCGCUGCAAAUUCGCCGUGUGUGUGGCGCGCUAAGCAAAUGUGGACCAACGAUUUUCAUGCCGCGGAGUGCUUUCCCUUGGUUGUUUUGGAAAGUUCGGUGGACGUCGUACAGAAAUCAUGCGUAUUAGCGUUACGCAGGUCGUCCACUACAUAGUGUUUCCUGCGGGAAUAACUUUGCAGCACCGGCAACUUGGAGGGCGCUUUUCGAUGGCAUCGUACCAUUUAAAAGUGGCGAGGCCAUGACCAACAAUAGUGUCCACGUCAGGGAGGAGCUAUGGCUGCAGCAGCACGGUGUGUAAUCGGAUGGUCUGGUCAAGUAUGACUGAAGUGUACAGAUUGGUGUGGGAUUUGUGAUGCCACUCAGCAAGUGGCAUUACAUAUUCAAGUCUGCUUCCGACACAGAGUGCACAUUAGAUGUGGCACGGCACCUGUAGACACCAGUGCAAGCAGGUGAAAGUAGCCUGACUGGACAGGCCUGCCGGACAAGGUGCCAUGCGUCUGGGAAGCUUCUGGCAACACCGGAGAAAGUGGCUGCUUUGAAGAACUGCCUGGAGAAAUACAUAAGUGACCAUCCAAUGGGGCCACCAGCACCACCUCCGGAGAACCACCUUGCUUCUCUGCGGAAGCACCUUCGGAGCUUUCUUUACAGAAGCAGGUCGCCGGGGCAAACAAGUGCAAAAGUAAAUAUCGUAUAAGUCCAGUGAUGUUUUUUUUCAAUAAAGUGUGAUGAUAUGCAACAUA
Molecule: long non-coding RNA, 850 nt
Organism: Dermacentor albipictus
Lineage: Eukaryota; Metazoa; Arthropoda; Arachnida; Ixodida; Ixodidae
Source: RefSeq, a predicted model, not a curated record